This 115-nucleotide microRNA precursor is filed under the name Fragaria vesca subsp. vesca. The record is from RNAcentral. Lineage: Eukaryota; Viridiplantae; Streptophyta; Magnoliopsida; Rosales; Rosaceae.
GGAGUCAUUAUAUAUUCUUGGUGUUGGUGCGGUUCAACCUCACCAUUGUGCCGAUUAAUAACCGGAGCUUGAUGGUUUGAUUGAGCCGUGCCAAUAUCAGGAGUAAGGUGUCUUC